AUACGUAGGGUGCAAGCGUUAAUCGGAAUUACUGGGCGUAAAGCGUGCGCAGGCGGUUAUGCAAGACAGAUGUGAAAUCCCCGGGCUCAACCUGGGUACUGCAUUUGUGACUGCAUAGCUAGAGUGCGGCAGAGGGGGAUAGAAUUCCGCGUGUAGCAGUGAAAUGCGUAGAUAUGCGGAGGAACACCGAUGGCGAAGGCAAUCCCCUGGGCCUGCACUGACGCUCAUGCACGAAAGCGUGGGGAGCAAACAGGAUUAGAUACCCUGGUAGUCCACGCCCUAAACGAUGUCAACUGGUUGUUGGGAGGGUUUCUUCUCAGUAACGAAGCUAACGCGUGAAGUUGACCGCCUGGGGAGUACGGCCGCAAGGUUGAA
RNAcentral lists this ribosomal RNA (375 nucleotides) under uncultured bacterium. Its description in RNAcentral is "bacterial SSU rRNA". It matches the Rfam family "Bacterial small subunit ribosomal RNA", at positions 523 to 898 of the family's 1533-position model. The record is from RNAcentral.